Molecule: ribosomal RNA, 253 nt
Filed under: uncultured bacterium
Lineage: Bacteria
Description: partial 16S ribosomal RNA
Rfam family: Bacterial small subunit ribosomal RNA
Source: RNAcentral
UACGUAGGGUGCAAGCGUUAAUCGGAAUUACUGGGCGUAAAGCGUGCGCAGGCGGUUUUGUAAGACAGGCGUGAAAUCCCCGGGCUCAACCUGGGAAUUGCGCUUGUGACUGCAAGGCUGGAGUGCGGCAGAGGGGGAUGGAAUUCCGCGUGUAGCAGUGAAAUGCGUAGAUAUGCGGAGGAACACCGAUGGCGAAGGCAAUCCCCUGGGCCUGCACUGACGCUCAUGCACGAAAGCGUGGGGAGCAAACAGG